UUCUGCAGUUUUUGAAGAAAGGACAAAAAGUUAUUGAGGUGAGACAGGAAGAAUGGGGCUGGCUCAUAGUCUGCUCUCAAACCUUCAUUACUUGCUCCUUCACUGCAGAUACGAACUGACAGUAUCCCUCCUUUCUACACGCCCUUUCCGCUGACCUUUCCUGUCUGCUUUUCUCGGGUGCAGGCAGGAGUGAUGAAGCCUCUCAGUGCUUAGGCCAGUAUGACUAAGAC
Molecule: long non-coding RNA, 230 nt
Organism: Cyprinus carpio (common carp)
Lineage: Eukaryota; Metazoa; Chordata; Actinopteri; Cypriniformes; Cyprinidae
Source: Ensembl